This 534-nucleotide ribosomal RNA is filed under the name uncultured bacterium. RNAcentral's name for it is "bacterial SSU rRNA". It matches the Rfam family "Bacterial small subunit ribosomal RNA", at positions 777 to 1302 of the family's 1533-position model. The record is from RNAcentral.
AAUAGACUACCCUGGUAGUCCUGGCCGUAAACCAUGAGCACUUGAUUGGAGGGCCCUCCAUAGCCCUUCAGUCGGAGCGAAAGUGUUAAGUGCUCCGCCUGGGGAGUAUGGUCGCAAGGCUGAAACUCGAAAGAAAUUGACGGGGGCUCACACAAGCGGUGGAGGAUGUGGCUUAAUUCGAGGCUACGCGAAGAACCUUAUCCUAGUCUUGACAUGCAUUUCUAAGUCGGUGAAAGCCGGCGAGUGGGGAAACCCACAACUUGCACAGGUGCUGCGUGGCUGUCGUCAGCUCGUGUCGUGAGAUGUCGCGUUAAGUCGCUUAACGAGCGAAACCCUUGUCUCUAGUUGCCAGCGGGGUCAUGCCGGGGGACUCUAGAGAGACUGCCGGUGUUAAACCGGAGGAAGGUGGGGAUGACGUCAAGUCCUCAUGGCCUUUAUGACUAGGGCUGCACACGUCCUACAAUGGCGCGUAUAAAGGGAAGCAAGCUCGCGAGAGUAAGCAAAUCCCAAAAACGCGCCCCAGUUCGGAUUGCG